This is a long non-coding RNA of Xyrauchen texanus (razorback sucker), 826 nucleotides long. RefSeq lists it as uncharacterized. The transcript has 2 exons. NCBI's taxonomy places the organism in Eukaryota, Metazoa, Chordata, Actinopteri, Cypriniformes, Catostomidae. The record is from RefSeq and is a predicted model, not a curated record.
CCCCAUCAUUGAGCUCAGACUCUCGGUUCAGCAGGAAACUUCACUGGAAGAAGAUAAGGCAACCAUAACAAAAAAAUGAAUCAAAUAUUGAAAUUGUGCCUUGGGGUGCUGCUCAUAACCGUACAGCUUUCAACUCAGUCCACAACAGGAAACAGCACCACAAGCAAUCCCAUUUCACAUACCACUGGUCCUCAUUCCAGUGCUGCGGGAUUGGGUCUUGUACCCACUGCACUGUGCCUGCUGAUCCCAGCAGCCACCCUGGCUUUUCUCCACACUAGAUCUUAAACAGGAUGGAGAAUAUUAACCAUAGAUGACCAAAACUGAGACAGUGGCAAAGAUGAACAACCAGCCACCCACAGAGAAAAUGUAUGCAAACUCUUGAGGUUAGAAGACACAGACAGGAAGACACCACCACCCCUCUUUGUAAUGGAUUUUAUUUUUAAAUAGGCCUAUUUAAAUUAAUAAUAAUUAAUACAUAUUUGUUUUUUGUACACAUAUUUUAGAGUGUUUAGACCAUUGGUCCUUCUAUCAGAAGUCUGUUUCUCAGAUGCACAGGCUACCAAUGAUGUUAUAUUAAGGGAAAGUUUAAGCAAAUUCACCUCAUGCUGAUUUUCUGUACCAGCUCAAACUUAUAUAAGUAUCAAUUGUGUUUCUCAAAGUAUAUGAUAUUAGUCUCUGCAAUGGCAUGAUUUGUACAGCCUGUUUUACAAAAUGUACCGUAUCAAUGUAAUCCAUGUAAUUUUUCAGUAUUUUUGUAUUGAUCGCAAUGACCUGUUAAUUGCACUGUUUAUGAAAGUGGCAAUACAAAUUAAAGAGAAUGUUUGCA